This 677-nucleotide long non-coding RNA is filed under the name Arachis ipaensis. RNAcentral's name for it is "long non-coding RNA (AIPA_LNC000281)". The record is from RNAcentral. Lineage: Eukaryota; Viridiplantae; Streptophyta; Magnoliopsida; Fabales; Fabaceae.
GUAGGAAAUACUUAGGCUAGAGGCCCUAAGAUAGGCAUUGAAUUGUUGGUGUUGUUGAAUGGUUGAAAUAUAUGAUGUGUUCAUAUAUGUAAUUAUGAAUAUUGAUGCCUUGAUUGUGUGAAAUAUGAGAAAUGCAUGUUGUGAUGUAUGCUUGAUGGAUGAUUGAGGUUGAAUUGAUGGGUGGUACCAUGUUGAUGGAGAGUAUGAUAUUGAUUAUGUAUAAUGAUGGUUAAUUGGAAAUGGUAUUAUUGGAAAUUGGGAUGAGGAAGGAUGUAUGACAUGAUAUUGUGUUUGUCCUUUAGCCAUUUGAUUGAGAAGUGUUAAAAUGGUUGGAUGUGGUUUUGGAAACCUUGGUAAAGUGUCAAUGUGUGAGUUGAGGAUGGCUUGUUGUUGAUUUUGGUACAUUUUGAAUGAUUUCAAAGAGAAGGGUUGAAAUUGGCAUGUUUGAUUGAUUUUGAAAAGAGUUGAAAGUGGCUUGUUUUGAAAAUGGCACCUUGUGGUUUUUUAUGAAAAUAUGGUUUUUGGGCAUACUUUGACGGGACAUAACUUGGACUACGGAUCUCUGAUUUGUGCCAAAUCUGUUUAGAAAUGAAAUUGGAUCCGGGAUGUCCAUGCCGUUCAAAGAACGUGUGAAAAACGAUUUAAAAUGAGGAAGUUAUGUCCGUCGGAAGAUUGGG